This 735-nucleotide ribosomal RNA is filed under the name uncultured bacterium. RNAcentral's name for it is "bacterial SSU rRNA". It matches the Rfam family "Bacterial small subunit ribosomal RNA", at positions 8 to 794 of the family's 1533-position model. The record is from RNAcentral.
AGAGUUUGAUCAUGGCUCAGAACGAACGCUGGCGGCAGGCCUAACACAUGCAAGUCGAGCGCCCGCAAGGGAGCGGCAGACGGGUGAGUAACGCGUGGGAACGUGCCCUUUGGUUCGGAAUAUUCCCGGGAAACUGGGAGCAAAACCGGAUAAGCCCUUCGGGGGAAAGUUUACGCCAAAGGAUCGGCCCGCGUUAGAUUAGGUAGUUGGUGGGGUAACGGCCUACCAAGCCUACGAUCUAUAGCUGAUCUGAGAGGAUGAUCAGCCACACUGGGACUGAGACACGGCCCAGACUCCUACGGGAGGCAGCAGUGGGGAAUCUUGGACAAUGGGCGCAAGCCUGAUCCAGCCAUGCCGCGUGGAUGACUGAAGGCCCUAGGGUUGUAAAGUCCUUUCGACGGGGACGAUAAUGACGGUACCCGUAGAAGAAGCCCCGGCUAACUUCGUGCCAGCAGCCGCGGUAAUACGAAGGGGGCUAGCGUUGUUCGGAUUUACUGGGCGUAAAGGGCGCGUAGGCGGAUUUUUAAGUCGGGGGUGAAAUCCCGGAGCUCAACUCCGGAACUGCCUUCGAUACUGGAAGUCUGGAGCACGGUAGAGGUGAGUGGAAUUCCGAGUGUAGAGGUGAAAUUCGUAGAUAUUCGGAGGAACACCAGUGGCGAAGGCGGCUCACUGGACCGUUGCUGACGCUGAGGCGCGAAAGCGUGGGGAGCAAACAGGAUUAGAUACCCCGGUAGU